GGGGGUAUAGCUCAGCUGGUUAGAGCAGUCCGCUCAUAACGGAUUGGUCGGGAGUUCAAGUCUCUCUACCCCUACCA
RNAcentral lists this transfer RNA (77 nucleotides) under Temperatibacter marinus. Its description in RNAcentral is "tRNA-Met". It matches the Rfam family "tRNA". Rfam says of the family: Transfer RNA (tRNA) molecules are approximately 80 nucleotides in length. Their secondary structure includes four short double-helical elements and three loops (D, anti-codon, and T loops). Further hydrogen bonds mediate the characteristic L-shaped molecular structure. tRNAs have two regions of fundamental functional importance: the anti-codon, which is responsible for specific mRNA codon recognition, and the 3' end, to which the tRNAs corresponding amino acid is attached (by aminoacyl-tRNA synthetases). tRNAs cope with the degeneracy of the genetic code in two manners: having more than one tRNA (with a specific anti-codon) for a particular amino acid; and 'wobble' base-pairing, i.e. permitting non-standard base-pairing at the 3rd anti-codon position. Lineage: Bacteria; Pseudomonadati; Pseudomonadota; Alphaproteobacteria; Kordiimonadales; Temperatibacteraceae. The record is from RNAcentral.